AAUCUUCGGAUUUUAGUGGCGAACGGGUGAGUAACACGUAAGUAACCUGCCUUUAAGACGAGGAUAACAAUUGGAAACAGUUGCUAAGACUGGAUAGGAAAUUAGAAGGCAUCUUUUAAUUUUUAAAAGACCUUUUUCGAAAGGUAUACUUAAAGAGGGGCUUGCGGCACAUUAGUUAGUUGGUAGGGUAAAAGCCUACCAAGACCAUGAUGUGUAGCUGGACUGAGAGGUUGAACAGCCACAUUGGGACUGAGACACGGCCCAAACUCCUACGGGAGGCAGCAGUAGGGAAUUUUCGGCAAUGGAGGAAACUCUGACCGAGCAACGCCGCGUGAACGAUGAAGUAUUUCGGUAUGUAAAGUUCUUUUAUUGAAGAAGAAAAAAUAGUGGAAAAACUAUCUUGACGAUAUUCAAUGAAUAAGCCCCGGCAAACUAUGUGCCAGCAGCCGCGGUAAUACAUAGGGGGCGAGCGUAUCCGGGAAUUAUUGGGCGUAAAGGGUGCGUAGGCGGUUUGGUAAGUCUAUAGUUUAAUUUCAGUGCUUAACACUGUUCUGCUAUAGAAACUAUCAGACUAGAGUGAGAUAGAGGCAAGUGGAAUUCCAUGUGUAGCGGUAAAAUGCGUAAAUAUAUGGAGGAACACCAGAGGCGUAGGCGGCUUGCUGGGUCUUUACUGACGCUGAGGCACGAAAGCGUGGGGAGCAAACAGGAUUAGAUACCCUGGUAGUCCACGCCGUAAACGAUGAGUACUAAGUGUCGGGGAAACUCGGUACUGAAGUUAACACAUUAAGUACUCCGCCUGAGUAGUACGUACGCAAGUAUGAAACUUAAAGGAAUUGACGGGACUCCGCACAAGCGGUGGAUCAUGUUGUUUAAUUCGAAGAUACACGAAAAACCUUACCAGGUCUUGACAUACUCUGCAAAGCUAUAGCAAUAUAGUGGAGGUUAUCAGGGAUACAGGUGGUGCAUGGUUGUCGUCAGCUCGUGUCGUGAGAUGUUAGGUUAAGUCCUAAAACGAGCGCAACCCUUGUCACUAGUUGCCAGCAUGUUAUGAUGGGCACUUUAGUGAGACUGCCAAUGAAAAAUUGGAGGAAGGUGAGGAUCACGUCAAAUCAUCAUGCCCCUUAUGAUCUGGGCUACAAACGUGAUACAAUGGCUGUUACAAAGAGUAGCUAAAACGCGAGUUUAUAGCCAAUCUCAUAAAAGCAGUCUCAGUUCGGAUUGAAGUCUGCAACUCGACUUCAUGAAGUUGGAAUCGCUAGUAAUCGCGAAUCAGCAUGUCGCGGUGAAUACGUUCUCGGGGUUUGUACACACCGCCCGUCAAACCACGAAAGUUGGUAAUACUCAAAAACGGUAGCCUAACUUCUUCUGAAGAGGG
This 1375-nucleotide ribosomal RNA is filed under the name Candidatus Phytoplasma cynodontis. Its description in RNAcentral is "bacterial SSU rRNA". It matches the Rfam family "Bacterial small subunit ribosomal RNA", at positions 72 to 1450 of the family's 1533-position model. The record is from RNAcentral. Lineage: Bacteria; Bacillati; Mycoplasmatota; Mollicutes; Acholeplasmatales; Acholeplasmataceae.